This 407-nucleotide unclassified non-coding RNA is filed under the name uncultured Funneliformis. RNAcentral describes it as "sequence contains 28S rRNA gene". The record is from RNAcentral. Lineage: Eukaryota; Fungi; Glomeromycota; Glomeromycetes; Glomerales; Glomeraceae.
AGUUAAACAGUACGUGAAAUUGUUGAAAGGGAAACGAUUGAAGUCAGUCAUACUAACGGGAAAUCAACCUCUUGAGUUUGGUCUCGUGGGUUUCGAAGAGUUUAAAAGCCUUCGGAUUUUCGAGAUUGGGCUCUUCUGGUGUACUUUCUCGUACGGUUAGUCAACAUCGGUUUUGAAUGUCAUAAAAUGACUGGAGGAAUGUGGCUUCGAUCUUGUAUUGAAGUGUUAUAGCCUUCGGUAGAUGUGAUGAUCGAGAUUGAGGAUUGCAACGGAUACCCUUCGGGGCUACCUGUCUGGUCUCUGAUCGUUGCUCUGGUGCCGAAAGCUUGCUUACGGUUAUCAAAGUCGAUGGUCAAUAGGUUAGAACGGGUUAAAUUCGUUAAGGAUGUUGACGUAAUGGCUUUAAA